This 505-nucleotide long non-coding RNA is filed under the name Aquilegia coerulea. RNAcentral's name for it is "long non-coding RNA (ACOE_LNC000124)". The record is from RNAcentral. Lineage: Eukaryota; Viridiplantae; Streptophyta; Magnoliopsida; Ranunculales; Ranunculaceae.
ACCACUGCCUCCACUACCCAAAGAACCAACAAAAUUUUUGCAUAAUCUUUCUUCAAAUGAUUUAAUUUUUCUCCCUCAACAAUCUAAAAUCUAAUAUUAUCAUUUAUCAAUUCCAACAUCAUCAACUCAACUACUGCUAUUUCUUCUCAAUUUUAAUGGUUUGAGCAAUGGAAAUGGAUAUCUAAUAAGCUUGUUUGGCUUCAUAACAGUUUGAAGUAAUUGAUUUCAUCCUUCACAAGCUUAGUUUCCUUUAUCCAUCUCCAUUUUCAUGUAUCGAAGAAAACGGUGGUAGUGUUGCUAUCAAGAAUUGUCUCUAUUUCUCUCGCCUUACUUCAGAACAUCAAAAACUUGUUAAUAAAAUUUCAAAACCAAAUUAGAAAAACUUGUUGAUGUUGUUGUUCAUCAUCAUAAACUCAUCAUCUUCUAUUUUUAAUUCGAUAAUUUGUGGAGAAGGGUAUUCAGUUUUUUUUUUUAGUUUAAUUUGAUGUUUUGUAGUUAUUUGUAU